CGUGCUAUACAUGCAAGUCGAGCGGACAGAUGGGAGCUUGCUCCCUGAUGUUAGCGGCGGACGGGUGAGUAACACGUGGGUAACCUGCCUGUAAGACUGGGAUAACUCCGGGAAACCGGGGCUAAUACCGGAUGGUUGUUUGAACCGCAUGGUUCAAACAUAAAAGGUGGCUUCGGCUACCACUUACAGAUGGACCCGCGGCGCAUUAGCUAGUUGGUGAGGUAACGGCUCACCAAGGCAACGAUGCGUAGCCGACCUGAGAGGGUGAUCGGCCACACUGGGACUGAGACACGGCCCAGACUCCUACGGGAGGCAGCAGUAGGGAAUCUUCCGCAAUGGACGAAAGUCUGACGGAGCAACGCCGCGUGAGUGAUGAAGGUUUUCGGAUCGUAAAGCUCUGUUGUUAGGGAAGAACAAGUACCGUUCGAAUAGGGCGGUACCUUGACGGUACCUAACCAGAAAGCCACGGCUAACUACGUGCCAGCAGCCGCGGUAAUACGUAGGUGGCAAGCGUUGUCCGGAAUUAUUGGGCGUAAAGGGCUCGCAGGCGGUUUCUUAAGUCUGAUGUGAAAGCCCCCGGCUCAACCGGGGAGGGUCAUUGGAAACUGGGGAACUUGAGUGCAGAAGAGGAGAGUGGAAUUCCACGUGUAGCGGUGAAAUGCGUAGAGAUGUGGAGGAACACCAGUGGCGAAGGCGACUCUCUGGUCUGUAACUGACGCUGAGGAGCGAAAGCGUGGGGAGCGAACAGGAUUAGAUACCCUGGUAGUCCACGCCGUAAACGAUGAGUGCUAAGUGUUAGG
Molecule: ribosomal RNA, 800 nt
Filed under: Bacillus tequilensis
Lineage: Bacteria; Bacillati; Bacillota; Bacilli; Caryophanales; Bacillaceae
Description: bacterial SSU rRNA
Rfam family: Bacterial small subunit ribosomal RNA
Source: RNAcentral